This 576-nucleotide ribosomal RNA is filed under the name Triticum aestivum (bread wheat). RNAcentral's name for it is "partial small subunit ribosomal RNA". The record is from RNAcentral. Lineage: Eukaryota; Viridiplantae; Streptophyta; Magnoliopsida; Poales; Poaceae.
CAACAUGUUGUUCAACGUGCUUCAAGAAGGCCAAUUUAUGUUGAAGCUUCUGAAGGUGAAGAAUAUGAUGAUGCCCUUGAAGAACCAAAUCUCUAUGCAUACCAGAGAGCACCCAAUCCUACAUAUGCAAGAGAUACAUACAAGGUCAAAGCUGAUAUCCCAAGUUUUAAUGGAAAUGUUGACAUUGAAGGGUGCCUGGAUUGGUUAUAUGAAAUGGAGACUUUCUUUGAGGUCAUGGAGGUUCCGGAAGAUCGUAAAGUUCCUUUGGUCACAUACAAGCUGAAAGGAGGAGCCGGUGCAUGGUGGCAUCGCGUUCAAGAGGAGCGCAGGCUGAGAGGAGAACCUCGUGUUAGAACUUGGCGACAAAUGAAAGGCCUCUUAAAAGGGAGAUUUUUGCCCGCUGAUUAUGACCAUAUCCUAUUUAUCCAAUUUCAAAAUUGUGCUCAAGGAAAUAGGACUGUUUCAGAUUACACGGAGGAGUUUCUAAGGCUACAAGUGAGGUGCAACCUUGCUGAAACUAAAGAGCAACAAGUUGCAAGGUACAUCAAUGGUCUCGAUGAUGCUAUUCAAGAUUGA